This 672-nucleotide long non-coding RNA is filed under the name Rattus norvegicus (Norway rat). RNAcentral describes it as "long non-coding RNA NONRATT021716". Lineage: Eukaryota; Metazoa; Chordata; Mammalia; Rodentia; Muridae. The record is from RNAcentral.
CUGAUGCUCUCUCAGUAAAGUUGCAACAGCUGAAGACACUCUCUCUGUGUCUGUGUCUGUGUUUGACAUCCCGUCUCCGCUCCACGCGUGUCCUCAACAGGGGUCCCUCCGCGGAUCCUUGGAACCUCCAAGAUUGCCGACCGCGGAAGCUGGCGCCCGAACAGGGACCCCCGACACGUGCAUGCUGUUGUCUUCUUGUGCUUUUCCUGUUUGUCUUAUAUCCUCUUGCUUUAGAUCUGCAAUCACUACAGGAGCGGAACGGAUUCACCGAAGGGAACUGCAGUCCCGCCUACGGAGAAGAGGAUGCCGAAUCACCAAUUUGAGUCCCAGACAGACUCAUCAGGCCAGCCAAAGGAAACGGACAUCCGUCCCCCACCCCGAAAGAGGCCGAACCGCCGGAUAAUGUGGAACCUGGCCAAAAAGAUCAAGGCGACUCGCCUGGAGCCGAAAAUGAAACCACGCCAGACGCCGACGUGGACACAGCUUAAAACCCUGACAGCUCAGGCAAAGGAAGUAUUGAAGGCUACACAUGCCCCGGAAACGGCAACCUUGCUGUUUGUGGCUAUGCUUGCAGUCAUGAGUGCGCCCACCGCUUUAGGGGAAAGUUAUUGGGCUUACUUACCAAAGCCACCCAUAUUACAUCCUGUAAGGUGAUAGGUGUCGGAUCACAUC